This 301-nucleotide ribosomal RNA is filed under the name uncultured bacterium. RNAcentral's name for it is "partial 16S ribosomal RNA". It matches the Rfam family "Bacterial small subunit ribosomal RNA", at positions 509 to 809 of the family's 1533-position model. The record is from RNAcentral.
CAGUCGCCGCGGUAAUACGUAGGGCGCAAGCGUUAUCCGGAAUUAUUGGGCGUAAAGAGCUCGUAGGCGGUUUGUCGCGUCUGCCGUGAAAGUCCGGGGCUCAACCCCGGAUCUGCGGUGGGUACGGGCAGACUAGAGUGAUGUAGGGGAGACUGGAAUUCCUGGUGUAGCGGUGAAAUGCGCAGAUAUCAGGAGGAACACCGAUGGCGAAGGCAGGUCUCUGGGCAUUAACUGACGCUGAGGAGCGAAAGCAUGGGGAGCGAACAGGAUUAGAGACCCCCGUAGUCCCUGUCUCUUAUAA